UCCCAAGCUGAACUUGGCUUUAUCCUUUCCUGUAUCCAACGUAUACUUCUAAAUCUGCAAUGUUAAAUCAUGAUAUAACAAGCGUGAGCAUAAGAUUGCCCAUCAAGUUUAAGUUUAAUAAUAUAACGAUAUAUCAUGAUUGACAAAAUCUGAAUAAUAAGCUGGCUAUAAUUCAACAAUACAAUUGUGAACUAGCAAGAACAAACAUUUGACUGAACAAGUAUUGAACAUGAACAAAUAUAUCUGAACCGAAUGGUAAUGAAGGUGAUCAGCCUUUCAUACCUGACUUAUACAUGCAAUAUGUACAGAGUACAAUUCUACAAUGGCAACCAGCAAUGAUUAUCCAUAAACAUAUCUGAAUGAAACAACUCUUAGUAGAGUUAAGUAAAAACUUACCUGAACCGUUGAUUACCGUUACGCAAAUUAUCUAACUUCGUUUGAAAACUUAAUAUAAACAAUACCGAUCUACACAUUCGAAUAAUAUCAUCACAGUAUUUAAAAUAACCUAAAUACAUUUAUCACAUAAUCCUAUCAGUCUAUAACACACAUAAGACCUAACCUCAAGUCAAACUUUGACAGUCUGAGUCGAGUUCGAUAAAAUUCUAACAUCCCGACGGUCUAAUCAGAUAAAUAACGAGUUUAAAUUCAGUUAAACUCUGCCUAACACUUAACAAUUAUCUUAGAUAAUUUUAAUAUCAGUCAAAAUAUUUUUCAUAAGCUCAUAAUAAUUUUUAAAUAAUUAUUACUAGUUAAUGUGAAUUUUCAAUCACUUAUAUCGUACUUUUAUAAAUUAAAUACCACAUAAUUCCUUUAUCAUUAAUAUCUAUUUAUUAUCAAAUAUUAAUGAAAUACAUGUCAUAAUAUUAUAAUAUAUUUAUAAUAUCACAAUGUAUUUUUAAUACUUUAAAAUCACCUUUAUAUGAUUUUUACCCAAUUAAAUUCAUUAUUUGAUAAUUGCUAUUAAUAUUAAAAUAUUAAUAUUUUCAUGACAAAAUUUAAAAAGUCAUAUUUUAUAACUAAAAAUAUUUUCUAUAACACUUAAAUCAUUUUUUAUGAUUUUUAACGCAUUAAUACUAUUUUUCCAUAAUUUAUUCAAUUAAUUUAUUAAAUAAUCUAAUUAAAAUUAAUAUUGAUUAAUUAAUGAAAUUCAUCACAAAAUAUUAAAAGUCACUAAAAAUAACUGAAAAUAUUUUCUUUUACCAUAAUAUAAUUUUUCAUGAAUUAAAAAUCAUUUUUAAAUGAUUUAUUUAAUAUUAUUAUUAAAUAAAUAAAUACCUUUUAUAUUCCAAAAAUAUUAAAUAUUUUCAAAAUAUACUUAAAAUAAUUAAAAACUAUUUUUCAAGCUUUAAAAUAAUUUUUUAUGUAUUUUUUAUAAUUAAAAACCAUUUAAUUCGAUUUACUUAAUGUAAAAAUAAUUAUUUUCCGAAAUUAAAUGUCAUUAAAGGGCCCUAUAACGACAGACCCGUCGCUAUAGGUGUUCUUGAGCCUGUUCUUCAUCAACCCAUAAACGCAUGUCAGACUACAGGGUGCUUGGUAUUGAUGUAACUCUAUAAACAUCAACAAUUGUUCUGGAAAUUCAACAUCAUAACUAAGAGAUAUAGGCUGUCAAUUCUCAUGUCAGAGCUGUUCUUCAUUUCUAGGCUUUCCAGAAAUGAAGAACAGUUCAUGGGUACUACUUUCGAUCCGUGUAACUUGGAAUCCAGUUAUGUUUUGCGUGAUAUUAAGGUUCAUAUUUGUAGUGGAGAUGUCAGUGAACAAUUUUAUACCAUCAUAUCAGUCUAACAACAACAUAAAAGGGACAUUUAGGCCGGUCAAAGUGUUGCUCAGGAAACGGUUCUUGAAGAUCUGGGUUUCCCAGAAAUCUUCAUCUGUCAACUUGGUCAACUGCUGUUUGACCACGAUUAAAGUCAUCCUGGUAAUGGUAUGAGUAAUCUAAAAGCAUUAUUGUAUAGCCUAUAUGUCAGACAACAACCUUAAAUCAACAACAUGGUCUAAAACAUAAACACAAGCAAGAUUUGUGGCUUGCAAAGACGCUGUCAAACAAGAUCUGGGUUUCUAGGUUGCUUAGAAACCCAUUCCCAUGACCGGUCAACACAGUUUGACUGCUCAUAUCUCUCAAUCUACUAAUGAUCUGGGUGAUCUAAGGACACGGAUCGUUACUUCUCAUAUUAUACUACAAGGAUCAAACAACAAAAUAACCAAAACAUAUACGCACUGCAAGAUCAAGGGCUGUAAAAAUCUUGUCAAAUCACUUGGAAAAAUUCUGGGUUGCCCAAAUUCAAAUUUUGUGCUUGGUCAACAGACAUUGACCGAUCCUAUCUUGCAAUCCGAGUAUUCUCUGAGCUUGAUUCAAGUCUCAGAUCAAAGCGCUAACAUCAAAGAACAGAUCUAUAACAUAACAUACACCAAACAUCAAACACAUACAGAUCUAAGGCCUCUGACAUAUGACUGUCAGGCCAUUUUUUUCUAUAUUUCCAAAUUUGGUAAAUCUUUAAAUUCGAGCAUCAAAAUGAUAUGGAUCUAGGUUUUGGCAACCCAGAUCAUCAAAUGACACCCUCUAACAUAACUUUAACAACCAACUUAUAACAUCUAACAUAAAAUACAAAGAUUUUCAAGAUUUAGGGUUUUUACCACUUUCUAGUCCCAUUUUUGAUUCUGAUCUUGAUGAACUGAUAAUGGAAAGCUAAAGAAUGACAUUAGCUUAUCUUAUCUCACUUUCUCACUCUAUAUCUUCGGAUUUUAGAAGGAGAAAAGCUUGGGAGAAGAAAAAAAAAUAAAGUGGGCUCUUUCUCUCUCUAAAAUCUAUAAUAAUUAAUAUGUUACACUAUAUUGGACUGAUCUAGGGCUAGGGUUAGCCAUCCCCCUACAAGAUCAUGGCUAGAUUUGCUCACUUCCCUCCAAUAAUGCACAAAAGGGCAUUUUAGACAUUUUGAUUUUUUUUGUUUUGUUCUUAAUGGCUUAUUAGUAAAUUGUCCAAACCUUUAAGGUUUAGGGUUUAACCCUUAGGGUUUAGGGUUUGACACUUAGGGUUUAGGGUUUAACCCUAACAUAUUUGAAAUUAAAUUUCUAGGAUUUCAAAAUUUCGGUUUUCAAAAUAGAAAAUUAAUAUUUCUAAAUUAUAAUUAGGAAUUUAUAAUUAUAUUAAAAUUUACUAAUCAUUAUUCAAGCUUGCUAAUUAGGAUUAAUAUUUCAUAAUUAAAAAUACUAAUUUAACAAUUAGGUUUCAUAUUCAUGCAUUAGGGUUUAUAACCUAAGAAUUAGGGUUUCCAAUUUAUUAAAAAUCUAAUUACCCACUAGGGCUAUCCCUAAUUAUGUUUGUAAUGAAAAAUACAUAAACCUUAUACAUAGCAUUCAAAUUAAGAUUUUAAUAUUCUAAUUAGGAUUUCAAAUUCCCGUAACUGAAAUUAGUGUUUCCAGAACCUGUUUCUAGGGUUUCUUAUCAGUCGUUAGGGUUUUCUAACUGAACGUUGAUGUUCUUAAUAUAAUAUUAGGGUUUGCCACUGAUAUAGUUUAUCUGGUCAACCCUUGACCCUUAACCACAAACUAGACACAUAUACAACCAUAUACACAAAACAGAAUCACGUAUAUCCUUAAUCUUGAAUGAUUCACCACAAAGAUUUUUAAAUCCAAAAAUUUCUUUUUAUAAAUGUUAAAUCCAUAUACUUAUUUUAUGUCUAAGUUUAUUAUUUAACCUUUAUUCAAUUAUUUAAGAUUUAAAUAAUUUUUCUAAAUUCUUGGGUCGUCACAGAAGAUGUUUUAAUUUGGUGUACUUCCGUAGAAUUGGAAUUUUAUGGCCAAAACAGAGUCUGUUUCGAGCUUCUGAAAAAACUAGUGCUGAGACGUCGCGCGGGCGCGUAACAUGUGGGCGCAGGCGCGCUGCGUCACGCGAUUAAACAGUUUAACACUUGCGCGGGCGCGCGAGUGGCCUGUCACAGACAGUAAAGCCUGUUUAAUUGCAGGUCGUGUGUAAUGGACUUUGGUUAGUUCAACAUGAAUGUAAAGGUUACUAAAAAUUAAGUGGAUUACAAUAACAUAUUGUAAUGUGUUGUAAUGCAAAGUGUAAAGAUUUGAAAUAAUUAUUUAAAUAAGUUAUAAAAUGAAACCAAAUGUGAUGUUUUUAAAGUUAGAGAUGAAUGAUUAAGUUAUAUUGGCUUGUAAUGAGAUUUCAGAUUCGUUAAGUAUAUUUAACCUACGUGGUUAGGUGUUGAGUUAGGGUUGUGACCUAAAUGAUGGUUUAAACCCUAAAGUUAAUAUUCAUGAGAUUAAUUGUUGUUGCGAUUUCAAUGAUAUAUGUAGGGUAAUUGGAGAAUUAUUUUACACUUGUGUAGCUUACUGUAAAAACCCAAAACCCUAAUAAGACUCAUAUGUAUAAAUCCCGUUAUAUAAAUAAAAUUUCUCUGUUCUGAAUGUGUUACGUAUUAUUAUAUACUUGGUUUGACAAAAUUGACCAAAUAAAUUUUUAUCCGAAAAACAUCGUGCUUGACACCUCGUGCUUAAAUUUUUUCCCAUAAUCGAACUUUUCGAUAAAUUAUUUUGACAAGUUGCUUUGUCGUGCUUACACUGACAAAACGCUUUGUCGUGCUUGUUAGGAUUAGUGAGAAAUUUAGGUUAGUAAACCUAGAUUAACAAACCCUAACCCUAAUUAGCAAAACCCUAACCCUAAUUUAUUAAUUAAUCCCUAAUUAGCUAAUCUAACUCUAAUUAGCUUAUGUUAACACUUAAUCAUGGUUAGUAAACUUCUAUUAGGUACUAAUUAACAUUACUUAACAUUCCUAAUCAUUAGAAACAAAACCCUAAUCAAGAUUAGUGAAGAUUUAAGCCUAAUUAAGCUACUAACUUAAUCAACUAGCUCACAAGUAGGUUGGGAGUCACCAUUACAAGUUCCAAAACAUCACAUGACAUGCUUCCAAACUCCCAAGCAGCAGAAGAGUCACAUAUCAGAUCUUUAUAUAGGCAAGUAGGUGGAAAAAUGACCAAAAAGCCAAGUUGGAGAAUUCUAUAAAUAGGAACCUUAGGGCUGAGCAAACNNNNNNNNNNNNNNNNNNNNNNNNNNNNNNNNNNNNNNNNNNNNNNNNNNNNNNNNNNNNNNNNNNNNNNNNNNNNNNNNNNNNNNNNNNNNNNNNNNNNNNNNNNNNNNNNNNNNNNNNNNNNNNNNNNNNNNNNNNNNNNNNNNNNNNNNNNNNNNNNNNNNNNNNNNNNNNNNNNNNNNNNNNNNNNNNNNNNNNNNNNNNNNNNNNNNNNNNNNNNNNNNNNNNNNNNNNNNNNNNNNNNNNNNNNNNNNNNNNNNNNNNNNNNNNNNNNNNNNNNNNNNNNNNNNNNNNNNNNNNNNNNNNNNNNNNNNNNNNNNNNNNNNNNNNNNNNNNNNNNNNNNNNNNNNNNNNNNNNNNNNNNNNNNNNNNNNNNNNNNNNNNNNNNNNNNNNNNNNNNNNNNNNNNNNNNNNNNNNNNNNNNNNNNNNNNNNNNNNNNNNNNNNNNNNNNNNNNNNNNNNNNNNNNNNNNNNNNNNNNNNNNNNNNNNNNNNNNNNNNNNNNNNNNNNNNNNNNNNNNNNNNNNNNNNNNNNNNNNNNNNNNNNNNNNNNNNNNNNNNNNNNNNNNNNNNNNNNNNNNNNNNNNNNNNNNNNNNNNNNNNNNNNNNNNNNNNNNNNNNNNNNNNNNNNNNNNNNNNNNNNNNNNNNNNNNNNNNNNNNNNNNNNNNNNNNNNNNNNNNNNNNNNNNNNNNNNNNNNNNNNNNNNNNNNNNNNNNNNNNNNNNNNNNNNNNNNNNNNNNNNNNNNNNNNNNNNNNNNNNNNNNNNNNNNNNNNNNNNNNNNNNNNNNNNNNNNNNNNNNNNNNNNNNNNNNNNNNNNNNNNNNNNNNNNNNUUUUUAUAAAAUUUUAGUAAAUAUAAAUUACUUAUAAAUAGAGAUAAAUGAUUUAAAAAUCAUUUAAAGGAUAAAUAAAUAUUUUAAAAAUACUUUAAACCUUCUAAAAUAUAUUAUAGGGAUAAUAAAAUUGUUUAAAAAUAUAACCAAAUUUUGUAAAUAAAAUUUAGUUCAUUUAUCAAAGGUAUUAAAAGUCAAACCCUAUUAAAUCUAACCCGGUAUUAAAUAAAUGUUUUAUUUGAGUAUUGUUAUCAAUACUAACGUGUUAGAUUUAUAUUCUUGAACGUCAUAGGUACUUAAUAGCGUUCGAAUAGUAUAACUUGACUGAUCUACGCUCAGGCAAGUCUUCUAUACCCAAUUUAUUACUUAUGCAAAAUUUAUCAACCCUGUUUAUUCGCUGAACAAGAUUCUAUCUUGCUAUACUGUUGAUAUAAUACACCUAUGUUGAAUUACCUAUUAUUGAAAAGUUAUUGCUAUAGUUCCAGCAUGACUAAGAAAUGAAUUAUUUAUUCAUAUGAUAUUGUUUAUUGAGCAUAAACUGUUGUGUCAAGCCAAAUUGUUUUGGUAAGACAAUCGUAUACUGAAGUUGAGUAUCCCGUAAGGGAGCAAUGUGUAGUCAAUGAAUGUAUUGACAGUAAAUUGUAAGUGUAAUUGAGCACUGUAGGUGAUAUGCAUACUCCUAAGAUGUUGAAUAGGCUGAUCCCUUAUCUCAUAUCUGAAAAGAAUUUUUAAGUCUUUGUGACUGACAGAAAUGAUAAAAAUUCCAGAACUAGUUGGAAUUAGAAAUCCAAAAAUGGUAACAACUAUCAGUCGAAAUUUGAAUUGUUAUAAUUCUUCAAAUCCUAUAUUGUUAUAAAUAUACAACUUGAUGAGCAUGUCAUAGCUCACCCUUGCAAAUUAUUCCCUGUGCAGUUUUAGAUUGUAAUCCUAGAACAUCUGGAGUAAAUAAAGGGAAGCGUCCCUACAUAGAUUAGAUUAUAUUCUUGUCUGUAUGAAUACCUUGUAAUAAGAACUCGUUAUGAGAAUUUUGUAAUCGAAUCAUAAUUAUGAUAUAUAUAACAUAUUUUAUUUCCGUAACCGUGUUUUCUUACAUAUAUAGAUGUAAAGUAAGAUGUCUUUUAUUCUAGUUGAGAUCCUUGGGAACUAUUUAUCUGAGUGAGGGUAUUAAUAGCAUGGACUGUUCAUGUUGUUAUUAAUAUUCUGAAUUUCAGAUAAAUGGUUACUAUCGAUACGAUAGUAUAUAAUCGCAUGAUAUAGACUAUACAUCUGGGUGAGGGUAUUGGUAAUAUGGACUAUUCAUGUUAUUACUGAUACUCUGAAUUUCGGAUAGAUAGACUCUAGUCACAGAUACAGUUCAUAUAUUCAAGUGAGGGUAUCCAACACAGUAAUAUUUCUCUUGAGAAUUACCAUCUGUUAUGGGAUACUGUGAAUCUUGAAUCUAUGGGAAUUAUAUCUGAUAGUCCCUCUAUCUAAUGUAAUAUUUUAAUCAGAUACCAUGGGUGUAUAGAUUUAAAUGCAUUAUGUUAAUUCUCUAUAAACACCAUACCAUACCAGAUACCAUGUGCAGGUUCCUAAACCUUAACUACAAUUGAGCAAGCUUUAAUUUCCUUAUUAACAUUCGAAGCAUAUAUUGUUUUAACACAUUGAUUCAUAGAAGAUUGUUCUAAACUCCUUUGAAUAUAGCAUUUCGCAUGUAUAUCAUGUUUAUUCAUUUAUAUAUAUUGUUGAUAUCCGAUCUUUGACUUUAAUAGCCUUGUUCAGUUAUACACUACUGUAUUAAACCUUUAUUGUUGGAAUUUGAAUAAGUGUUCUAAAAUUCUAGAAACACUGAUAAACUAGUUCCAAACUAAACUUUCUUUAGUGCAGAAAUUCUAAAUUCAAACUGAGACGAACAACCCUAACAUGGGGGAUUUUUGUACGUGUAACAUUUAGAUGUUUGUGCACAAUACAUGGUACAAAGGGCUGAUCCCCUGAGUACGUUAAGAACAGUCGGUAUAGUCUAAUGACUGUUAAGGUUAAGGUAAUAAUACCUAAACACCGUGGACAUAGUACGUGGUCUUAAGACCCUCAGAUAAUUAAAGUUCGAACUUGUUUUCUAUUUUGAUUCGUAGAACAUGUUCUUUAAUAUUCAGUAUUCGUUGUUCACUCUCAUGUUGCUAUUAUACUAUCUUUAUGUCAGUGUGCAAUUGUUUGCUCACUCUUGCAAUUAAACAAUGCAGCUAAAGUUGAAAGAGGUGAUGAUCCAUCUACUAGCAAGGGAAAGGGCAAGAUGUCUAAGUGAUGAAGAAUUAGUUAAAGUUUAUUUAAAUGCUUCAAAUUAUAAGACUUGUUUUAUUUUAUAAUGUAUUCCGCAAACUGAUGUAAUAAUUUUAAGGUUAGAUUACCUAGGAUUUAUUUUGAGAUUAUGAUGUAACCCUUUAAUGGGAGAGAUUAUUGUUUAAGUUAUUUAAAUUAUGUCUUUAUCCUUUGAUUAUGGGUAGUUAGAUAUAAUAGUUUUUGAUAAGUGAGCACCAAAUCCUGUGGAAAUGAAGUACCUGGAUUUGGGGGUGUCAUAGGUUAGUAUCAAAGCUUUAGGUUAUGAACCUUAGGUGGGGAAAAACCUUAGGAAGUAGCAUUUAAGAAGGGCAAAAAGCACUUUUUGGCCACUGUGGUUAUAGUGAUUUAAUGAAUUGGCCACUGUGUUUUUAAAAUAUUCAAUCAGCCCACUGAACUUUUUAAAAAUGUUCAAUAAGCCCAUUCCGUCCUAUUUCUUGGACGGACGUUAACAAAUUGCACAUGUGGCAUUGAAAAAAAAACAAAAUUUUUUUAUUUUCUGAUGUGGCAACAUAAAAAAAUAAAAUAAAAUAACACCAUUGAUUAUGUGGCAUGUACAAUGCAAAUUUUUAGACAAAAAAGAAAUAAUGCAAAUUAUAAACAUAAAUAAAUUAAUAUUUAUAAACAUAAAGAAAUAAUAAAAAUUUCUUUUUUUUUCUUUACCAAAAUAUUUAUAAUAUAUAUAAUAUUAAUAAAAAUUAAUAAUAUAAUACAUAAUAUAUAUAUGUCUUAUUUUAAAAAUAUAAAUAAAAAUACUUUUAUGUUUUAAAUAUUUUAAUUUCACUUUAAAAAUAUAAAAUUAUCUCUUAUUCUUAUUAAUUAUUAUUAACUUUUAUUUUAAUUCUCUUAUUCACUUUUAAAAUUAAUUCUUCUUAUUCUUAUUCUUCUUAUUCAUAUUCUUCUUCUUCACCACCGAACAACUACCACCACCACCACCACCACCACCACCGGCGAUGAGACGACGAUGAGAGAGAGUGAAGAUGAUGAGGGAGGAAGGAGUAGUCCCUUUUCUCUCUCUUCCUCUACUUUGAUUCAAAAAAUUACAGACAACAACGUUUACCCCAAGUCCCUUUUCUCUCUCUUCCUCUUCUUUGAUUCAAAAAAUACAGACAGAAAUUACGAAGAUUAUAUCGGCCGAUCAUGAAGAUUAUAUCGGCCGGACGAUGGCCGGGUCUCUCGUCACCCCUUCGUUCGAAUGUGAUUUUUGUGCCUUUUUUCCAUCCGGGCUUCACCCCUAUUUUCAUAAUCUCCUCUUCCUGAACAAUUAGUCUGUCCCCAUAUAUCAAUACAAGAAUGUUUUCUGUAUUAGGUUCUGUAGAAGCAUUUAAGAAAUUUUAUUUUCGGAGAUGACAUCUCUAGUAAUCUUGAUUUUCUUAACGCAUCCGCACCACAACUCUUCGAGUGUGCACUCCAGCUUCUUCUCAAUCGGCUUAGGCUUGGACCUCCUAGCCGUCUAUUGUGAAUAUAUAAUAGGGGUAGGACCUGCACCUCUUCUGAUGCCGGCUCUUGAUAAAGAAGGGUAGGACUGGUCUCCUCCUCCUCCAUUACUAUGACUAUGAGGGGUGCUGUUAGGGCUACUACUUGUGCUGCUGGUCGGCAUUGUGUUUCUCCGGCCCUUGGUCGGACUUUGUAAUGUCGUCGUCUGCUGCGCCUGAUGUCCAUUUUCAGCUUCUUUCUCAAUUGGGAUUCUGGGAAAUUAGCUUGAGAAAUUUGGAGAUUUCUUUCUUAAGCUGAAUUGCUUUGGAUUUGAUGGAAUUUAGAUAAAGGGAUUUGAGAAUUUAGGUAAAGGAAAAGAAAGAAAUUAAAAUAUAAAAAUAUUUUUAUUUUAAAAUUUUUAUAAGUAUUUUACAAUAUAAAAGUAUUUUUAUUUUUAUUUUUUUCCAAAAAACCCACAUAAUAUUUAUUUUUUUUAAAAAAGCCACGUAAGAAAAGCCGCACAGUCAGCAAAUACACGUAAUAUUUAUUUUUUUCAAAAAAGACACGUAGGAUAUUUUUUAACGUCAAUUACAAAAAAUAGACGGAAUGGGCUUAUUGAACAUUUUUAAAAAGUACAGUGGGCUAAUUGAAUAUUUUAAAAACACAGUGGCCAAUUUGUUAAAUCACUAUAACCACAGUGGCCAAAAAGUUCUUUUUGCCAUUUAAGAAGUCAGAAAAUAUAGAGGUGUUUAACUCUUAUCGAGUUUUAAGGAAUGGAUUUAGGUAUCCAUUAAAGUUAAUUAAUAAAAGACAUUAUGUGCUAUGUGUUAAAAAUUUAUGUGCUCGCGAGUAUCGAAAAAUAAAAAGUAAAACUUAAUAUAUUUUGUUGUCAUGAUGUCUAACGAAGGAGGAUCCAGUCCAGCUAGAGAGGUGAUACCUCAGUUACCUAUAGAUGAUGAACCCCGGGAUAUUCACGUAGUGCGGGAACAGUUGAUCCAGGAGGAUGAGCCUGUGACCGAUCCCGAGGAGGAUAUUUAUGAGGAGAUAGAGGAGGAUGAUGAGGAGGAGGAUCCUAUGGAGUUUCCACCAAACUUCGUAUCGGCUGAGAUGUAUGACGCUCUGUAUGACCGUAACAUAGAGUUACAAGAUAAUGUUGAGGAGCUGAAGGAGAUGGUUGAGAUGCAUCAUAUUUCAUUGGAACAGAAGGAUGUGGAGAUUCAGGAACUUGAUUCAAAACUCGAAAACACGGAAUAGGACUUAGUUCAUACCAAGGGUCAGCAUGAAGACUUGUUAGCAGUAAAUGAGAAGAUGAAGACUGACAUGGAGAAGUUGAAAGAUGAUUUCAAGGAGGAGUCAGCUAAGUGUGCAAGAGCAGAGGAUGCUUGGAUGAAGGCGACUCAACGUGCAGAUCGUGCUGAGGCUAAAGUUUAAGUGAAGAAAGCCUAGAUGAAGGAGAUGGAUUAUGUUUUAAAUUCUACAAUUGAUAGGGCCUAGGAUCGAGUCCAUUAUUACCCACCUUAGUUUGAAGACUCGCCGUGGUUCGUGAUGGAUCGUAGAACGACGUACCGUAUCAUGGAGGAAAAGCGUCGAGAGGCCUUACGACGUCUUAAUAUGCCUAGAUAGAAUAAGAGUGAUAAUAAUAUGUGGUUAAUUAUGUGAGUAAAUAAAUUGUGAAUCCCUUAUUUUGAGAUGAAUAAAGGGAUAGUAUGAGUAUGUAAUCUUUAAACUUGUCUAGUUUAGGAAAGUGGAUGUUUUUAGCGGUUAUGCUAUCUUGAGUAUGUUUUAAAACAUUAUGAAUGAAUAAAAUAUUGGAGUCUAUUUGAAAUAUUAUGUGAUAUAGCUUUAAUCUUAAAAUGUGAUGCCCCCAAAUCCGGGUAUCUUCCAACCCGAGAGAUGGUGCUCCACGAUACUACAUUUCAUACAAUCAUUCCAUUGAAAUAACAACAAAAUGAGUGUAAUUACUAUCUUUGUAUUACAUCUGUAAUAAAUCCUUUCCCAGGUUCAUAGCCGAAUACAUUCGUUGUUCUUCAUAAGUAUAUUACAUACAAAUAUACUAGUCUAUUACAGGAUGAUUAAUUGUCCAUCUUAGCCUUGCCUUUAUCUCUCAUAGAACUCUCAGUUCAUUCGGCUUUAGCUGCAAACAUAUGGUUCAAGCAAGAAUGGGCAUAACUUGCUCAGCAAGUCUUAACAACGAAAUAUAUGAAUAUCACAUCAGUAAGUACAUGCUUUAUAUUAAUAUCAGAACAAUUAUUUACUAAGCAUCCUGAAUCAUUUGACUAACACUUCUACUACAACAAUUCCAGAGUAUAUAUAAUAGCUUAGGAAUGAUGAACCGUUCAAUAGACCAUGAACAUACUCUUUUCGUUUUCAUACUUGAAAAGGAUAUCCGGCUCUAAGGCCAUCCACCGGUCUUUACUUACAAGCACUUCUAGGUGAUCAGCCUAUUGUACUCUAUGUUGAUCAACACUCUUACGUUAAACGUAUUUACGUUUAACAUUUGGCAACCUCGCGUGCCCAUCGAAUAAUCGAUGAAAAUACGUUUGUUUGUUCAUAGACAAACUUACCUUCUCAUCCGUACCAAAUACUUGGCAUAGGAUAGCGUUAACAGUUCUAUAUCAACAGACUUGUAACCAAUUUAAUCUAUCCUUCAAUACUUGUCUAGUCUGAAUAAAAUAGGCAUCGACUCUUAUCUAUUUACCAUUCAUGCAUUGUAUAUCAUGCAUUACAUAAAAACUUGGCUAAUACGAAGGUCAGACAAGAGUUAAGAAAGACUUGCGUUCAAGCGUCUUCAAAUAUAUAUUCCAACUAUUCACAGUCUUUACAGGAUCUACAUGAUACAUUCACAUAGCACACUGUAAUUAGUUAUCAAACAAACUCACUUUACGGUUCUAACCAACUUCUUUCUCUUCUAUGUCUUACUUGUUUUAACUCUGUUAUUAAAGUCGAUUCGACUUUCUAUACUUCGUUACAUUUUAUUAACGUUCUUACGUCCUUAGCCGACAUUCAAUCAUUAAUGGUUAAUUACCAAUGUUGAACGUCGUUCACGGUUCACUCAUUACGUAUUUGCGUUCUUCAUUUAAUUUCCAUUAAACCUUACCCAUUCUUCUAACAUUAACAUCUUAUAAGUGUUUUUAAAGUAAGUCUCAUUAUGUACUUUUAGUACCUUUAUCAUCUUACUUUAGGUCUACAUUCAAAAGGGAACUAAACCUAACUUAGUCAACUUUUUUCCACUGUCGGCGCUGCAGCGCGGCAUCCUUUGUAUAUUAGUGGCAUUGCGGCGCGAGUUAAUAGGGUACUCGGCCGAGUCUAGCGCUACGGCGCCACCACUUUGUACUGGUUUUGGCGCUACGGCGCUGAGUCUGUGCACCAGUUAGCCAUAACAGAUUUGGUUUCUUAACGAAACUCUCGGCUUCCUAAUUUGUUUGUUUUACAUCCGAAUUGACCCAUUCGAAUUCCUAUAAGUCAGGAAUUACAUCCUUUACGUGUUCAUAUAAGAAUUUCAUAUUUUACAAUCCGUUAACUCGGAAUUCACCUUUAAGUUCAUUUUUAAGCGUUCAUUUAACGUUUUCGCCCGUUCAAUACUUGUUUUCUUCGUUAUAAGUCGGAAUGUGACGAUUCCUUCGCCAAUGACUCAUAAUUACCUUAUCUCUCGUGUUGACAUUGGAAACCUAUGUUUUCAAGUCACACGACAACUUUUCACCUUUAAUCCGGACUUUAUGCGUUUUCGACGUUUAACGUCUAUUUUUGCAAAAUCCGCCAUAACUUCAUUACUAAUGUUCUCUAAGCCAAAUCACAUGGAAUACACCAUGAACUUCAUAUCUACAUCCUAACCAAUCACGAUGCACAUAUCUUAGCUACAACAGUUUCCAAAACGUUCAAUUAUAACUAAGUUAACUUUCAAGACUUUCUAUGGGUUUAACUCACGUAAACAAUUACAAUUUCUAUUUGGUCAUGACCUAUUAAUGAUUUGGUCAUAAAAAGGCAUUCUUAUAUCUUCUCUAUAAACAUUCUCCACUCAUCUACGAUUCUUCUAUGAGAAAGAAAUCAAAAAGGAUGAAGAUUACGGUUUAUAGGAAUUUACCUUUGAAAUAGUUAACGUUCUUGAUAAACGUCUUUUGGUUUUCUUGGAAGUAGAAGGAUUAUAGGAUUCUAGCUCUUUUCUCUCUCUCUAAUAUGUUGGACAAACUUUGUAAAACAACAAAAAUCAAACUCUUAGCUUUCUAUUUAUAGAAAACCAAAUGAGGGCAAAAAUGUCCAAUUUUCCACCUCCUUACUUAAUUACCACUUUGUCACCAAGUAAAGUACUUGGUGACCAAGUGAUACACUUGGCUUGCACACCAAGUGGCUGGCCCACCAUGCCCAUAGGUCAUCCCCAUGGGUUGCCCCAUGGGUUUUACCCAUCCCUUGACCCACCGGUUCGACCUGCGGUUUACUUUUUGGAUUGGGCUUGACAUAAAAACAUUGGGCUUUAACCAAUCUAAUAUUGGGCCUUGACUUGGGGGUGUAUACUUAAUUCAUUAGGCUUGUUUAUUAAUUCAAGUCCAAUUGGAUUGGAUAAAAUCCUUAACUCAUACUCUAAUAAUACAACUCGUAUUCUACACGUAUUACUCAUGUAUUCUCUUUGUAUAAUACUCAUAUAAUAAUCGUAUUAUACGUCGUACUAUUCUUCAUACCAUACUCGUAUACAUACUAGUAUAAUACUCAUAUUCCUUGCGUAUAAUAAUCGAAACGACUAUACGCAUUACAUUUCCCUUUUGGAAACCUCUUUCACAAACCCUUAGGUUAUAAGUCCGCAGGCGAAAACUUCGUAUGCCAUAACAGAAAUAUUAUUGGAUAUUCCAUAAUAUUGUCACAUUCUAACAUUAUGCGUUUCUCAGAAUCUCAAACCCUUACUCCGAACGUCAUCGGAUGAAUAGCGUUUUUUUUCCGCAAACAAUCUCAGAAAACCUUCAUUCUCGUCUUGAUAAUUCACAACAAUUACUUCUAGCACAAAGCCUGAAUACUAACCACAUCUAAACAUUCUAGGUCAUACAACGACUUUCGAACAUCUUACUCAUAUAAUAACUCAAUAAAAUUCAUUUAAUCCACAUAAUCAAAUAAAAAUUUAAUUCAUUGAAAAUUCGAAAUUCUCGGGCGUUACAUUCUUCCCUCCUUAUAAGGAUUCUGUCCCCAAAAUCUCGCUAUUCUUACAUAAACAAAUGAGAAAACUUUUCCUUCAUUUUACUUUCGAGCUCCCACAUUGCUUCUUCAGCAUCGUGGUUACUCCAAAUUACCUUUACGGAAGGUAUUACUUUAUUUCUCAAGACUUGUUCCUUCCUAUCAAUAAUCUGAAUCGGAAGUUCUUCAUACGUUAAGUCUUUUUCUACUUGAAUAGACUCAUACUCUUUUGCAUGCUUAUAGUCCAGUUUAUAAGGACACAACACAAACACGUGAAACACAUUGUGUAUUCUUUCCAUUUCUGGAGGUAAGACUACUUCAUAAUCUACCUUCCCUAUCCUUCUUAAAAUCUCAAAAGGUCCUACAAACCUUGGACUUAACUUCCCUUUCUUUCCAAAACGUAUCUUCCCUUUCCAAGGCGAUACUUUUAGAAAGACAUAAGACCCUACUUCAAACUCCCUCUUCUCUCGAUGAGGAUCUGCAUACUUCUGUUGUCUAUCUUGAGCCGCUACUAAUCGAGCUCUUAUCAGCUUUACCAUAUCUGUCGUUUGUUGUACCAUCUCAGGUCCCAACAUUCGACGUUCACCUACUUCGUCCCAACAAAGUGGUGUUCUACACUUCCGUCCAUACAACUCUUCGUAAGGCGGCAUGCCUAUACUAGCGUGAAAACUAUUGUUGUAAGCGAAUUUUACCAACGGUAGAUGUUCGUCCCAACUCCCUUAGAAAUCCAUAACGUAAGAUCUUAACAUAUCUUCUAGCGUUUGAAUUGUCCGUUCGCUUUGCCCAUCCGUUUGUGGAUGAAACGCCAUACUUAAUCUUAACUGUGUUCCCAUUUGCUCUUGCAAACUCCUCCAAAAGUUCGACGUGAAUCGUGGAUCACGAUCGGACACAAUUGAAAUAGGUACUCCAUGUCUAGAAAUGAUUUCUUUGACAUAAAGCUUAGCUAACUGCUAUAAUUAUACCUAACUCCUAUUGGUAGAAAAUGAGCAGAUUUAGUUAACCGAUCCACUAUUACCCAAAUAGCAUCGUAUCCCUUUCUUGUCGUUGCAAGUCCCACCACAAAGUCCAUGGUGAUAUGCUUCCAUUUCCACUCCGGAAUCUCCAGUGGUUGUAUCAAUCCACGCGGUCUUUGGUGUUCAGCCUUAACUUUCUGACAAGUUAAGCACUUACUAACAUAUUCUGCAAUCUCCUCUUCAUGUUCGACCACCAAAAGUUCUGAUGAAGGUCUUGAUACAUCUUAGUACUACCAGGAUGUAUCGAGUACCUCAAACUAUGAGGCUCACACAUAAUCUCUUCCUUCAACUCGGAAUUAUUUGGAACCCAAAUUCUUCCCUCAAAAUGAAGUAAACCGUCUUUAUCAAGGUUAUACUUAGUCUUCACGUCAUCCUUCAUUAUCUUCUUCAUCCGCUCGCAUUCCUCAGUACUCAACUGUACUUCCUUAACUCGUUCCAUUAUCAUUGGUCGAGUUUCUAUUGCAAAUAACAUCUCCCUCGUUUCCCUUGGAAACUUAACUUGUAAUUCCAUCCUCGCCAUCUCUGUGAUUAACUCAUCCUAAGUCGUUAACAUUGAUAGUUUCUCUCUACCAUUCCGUGUAGCGUCCCCGAAUCCGGGUCCCGAAUCGCCGCGGAUUCGGUACACUAAUCAUUCUAUAACUGUUUGCGGAAGAUAUAAACAUAGAUUGUUUAUACAUUACAUUACACACUAUUCCCCAAGGUCGAGUAACCUUUACUUAUACACAAUUCAUAAGCUAUCUAACAGAUAACAUAUUAUGCACCUAUACUAUUACAACUAGCCGCAUAAUUUAUCCCAAGUUGUACUUGGCAUUAACCUUUUCCUGUAUCUGGCCGUAUUCGCCUUAUCUGCAAUGUUUUAUCAUGAUAUAGCAAGGGUGAGCAUGAAAGUUGCCCAGCAAGUUUAAAAAAAAAACAAGGUAAAGAUAUAUCAUGAUUGAAAGAGUUUGAAUAAUAAGCUGGCUAUCCUUCACAAUGUAGUUGUGAAUUAGCAUGAACAAAAUUUCAAAGCUGAAUGAACAUUGAAAAUGAACAUAACAAUUAUAUCUGAACUGACUGGUAAUGAAGGUGAUCAGCCUUUCAUACCUGAUGAAUACAUGCAAUAUGUACAGAGUACAAUUCAUAAGCAUAUCUGUCUGAAACCACUCUUAAAAGAGUUUAAGUAAAAAGAACUUGAAAAACUUGCCUGAACCGUUGAUUACC
Molecule: long non-coding RNA, 16958 nt
Filed under: Panax ginseng (ginseng)
Lineage: Eukaryota; Viridiplantae; Streptophyta; Magnoliopsida; Apiales; Araliaceae
Description: long non-coding RNA (PGIN_LNC008505)
Source: RNAcentral